UAAUACGGGGGGUGCGAGCGUUGUCCGGAAUCACUGGGCGUAAAGGGCGCGUAGGUGGUUUGAUAAGGGUGUGGUGAAAGUCCGGGGCUCAACCCCGGAUCUGCCGUGCCGACUGUCAAACUCGAGGACUGUAGAGGCAGACGGAAUUCCGGGUGUAGCGGUGGAAUGCGUAGAGAUCCGGAGGAAGACCGGUGGCGAAGGCGGUCUGCUGGGCAGUUUCUG
This 222-nucleotide ribosomal RNA is filed under the name uncultured bacterium. RNAcentral's name for it is "partial 16S ribosomal RNA". It matches the Rfam family "Bacterial small subunit ribosomal RNA", at positions 521 to 742 of the family's 1533-position model. The record is from RNAcentral.